GUCUAUGGCCAUGCCACGCUGAAGAAGCCCUAUGUCUGAUCUCGGAAGCUAAGCAGGGUUGAGUGUGGUUAGUAGUUGGAUGGGAGACCACCUAGGAAGAUCAGAUACUGUAGGCA
This 116-nucleotide ribosomal RNA is filed under the name Pteropus alecto (black flying fox). The record is from RNAcentral. Lineage: Eukaryota; Metazoa; Chordata; Mammalia; Chiroptera; Pteropodidae.